Molecule: ribosomal RNA, 246 nt
Filed under: uncultured bacterium
Lineage: Bacteria
Description: partial 16S ribosomal RNA
Rfam family: Bacterial small subunit ribosomal RNA
Source: RNAcentral
CUUGCCGUAAACGAUGUAUACUAGGUGUAGCCGGACUCAACCCUGGCUGUGCCGUAGCGAACGCGUUAAGUAUACCGCCUGGGGAGUACGCUCGCAAGGGUGAAACUCAAAAGAAUUGACGGGGACCCGCACAAGCAGUGGAGCAUGUGGUUUAAUUCGAUGCAACGCGAAGAACCUUACCCAGGUUUGACAUGCAGAGGACGAUAUCAGAAACGAUAUUUCCCGUAAGGGUCUCUGCACAGGUGC